GCUGACUCUGUACUCUCUCUUUCCUCAUCCACAUAUCUUCUACAGCGGAGUCGACGGGAGAAGGGGCAGCAGCCGCCGGGCGGGGUCGACGGCGGCCGUCGGGCUGGGGAGGCGACGACGGCUUGCGGCAAGUGGAGGACUCGAUUUGGGGGUUUCUUUGUUUUUUAAAAAAGAAUUUGUGAUUCAUUGGAUCUGUGUUAUUUGAUAUGUGAUGUAAUUUUUUUUAGAAUUUGUGAUGUAUUUUUUUGAUAAUUUUUGACAUGAAUCUUAUGAUUUGUGAUGUUGUUACUUUGAUUUGGAGAUGUAGGGAGCAACUCGAUUUGGAAUUUAUGAUGAUUUUGUGAUUUUGAUG
RNAcentral lists this small RNA (352 nucleotides) under Oryza sativa Japonica Group (Japanese rice). RNAcentral's name for it is "sRNA Os01g0672600". The record is from RNAcentral. Lineage: Eukaryota; Viridiplantae; Streptophyta; Magnoliopsida; Poales; Poaceae.